GUCUAUGGCCAUGCUACCCUGAACAAGGCCAAUCCCGCCUGAUCUCGGAAGCUAAGCAGGGUCAGGGUCGGGCCUGGUACUUGGAUGGAAGACCACCUAGGAAGACCAGGUGCUGUCGGCG
RNAcentral lists this ribosomal RNA (121 nucleotides) under Pteropus alecto (black flying fox). The record is from RNAcentral. Lineage: Eukaryota; Metazoa; Chordata; Mammalia; Chiroptera; Pteropodidae.